RNAcentral lists this ribosomal RNA (526 nucleotides) under Dothideomycetes sp. JH1Y3-2. RNAcentral's name for it is "eukaryotic LSU rRNA". The stretch from base 151 to 304 matches the Rfam family "5.8S ribosomal RNA". The record is from RNAcentral. Lineage: Eukaryota; Fungi; Ascomycota; Dothideomycetes.
GGGCUGGAACCUCUCGGGGUUACAGCCUUGCUGAAUUAUUCACCCUUGUCUUUUGCGUACUUCUUGUUUCCUUGGUGGGUUCGCCCACCACUAGGACAAACAUAAACCUUUUGUAAUUGCAAUCAGCGUCAGUAACAAAUUAAUAAUUACAACUUUCAACAACGGAUCUCUUGGUUCUGGCAUCGAUGAAGAACGCAGCGAAAUGCGAUAAGUAGUGUGAAUUGCAGAAUUCAGUGAAUCAUCGAAUCUUUGAACGCACAUUGCGCCCUUUGGUAUUCCAAAGGGCAUGCCUGUUCGAGCGUCAUUUGUACCCUCAAGCUUUGCUUGGUGUUGGGCGUCUUGUCUCUAGCUUUGCUGGAGACUCGCCUUAAAGUAAUUGGCAGCCGGCCUACUGGUUUCGGAGCGCAGCACAAGUCGCACUCUCUAUCAGCAAAGGUCUAGCAUCCAUUAAGCCUUUUUUUCAACUUUUGACCUCGGAUCAGGUAGGGAUACCCGCUGAACUUAAGCAUAUCAAUAAGCGGAGGAA